GGCGCUGUAGCCAAGCGGUAAGGCAAAGGUCUGCAACACCUCUAUGCAUCGGUUCAAAUCCGAUCAGCGCCU
This is a non-coding RNA of Clostridium sp., 72 nucleotides long. Lineage: Bacteria; Bacillati; Bacillota; Clostridia; Eubacteriales; Clostridiaceae. The record is from Rfam.